UGGUAAUGCCGGAUGCUCCAGUUGAUCGCAUGGUGUUCUGGGAAAGCCUUUGCGGCAUGGGAUGGGGUCGCGUCCUAUCAGCUUGAUGGCGGGGUAACGGCCCACCAUGGCUUCGACGGGUAGCCGGCCUGAGAGGGCGACCGGCCACAUUGGGACUGAGAUACGGCCCAGACUCCUACGGGAGGCAGCAGUGGGGAAUAUUGCACAAUGGGCGCAAGCCUGAUGCAGCGACGCCGCGUGAGGGAUGGAGGCCUUCGGGUUGUAAACCUCUUUUGUUAGGGAGCAAGGCAUUUUGUGUUGAGUGUACCUUUCGAAUAAGCACCGGCUAACUACGUGCCAGCAGCCGCGGUAAUACGUAGGGUGCAAGCGUUAUCCGGAAUUAUUGGGCGUAAAGGGCUCGUAGGCGGUUCGUCGCGUCCGGUGUGAAAGUCCAUCGCUUAACGGUGGAUCCGCGCCGGGUACGGGCGGGCUUGAGUGCGGUAGGGGAGACUGGAAUUCCCGGUGUAACGGUGGAAUGUGUAGAUAU
This 526-nucleotide ribosomal RNA is filed under the name Bifidobacterium breve. Its description in RNAcentral is "bacterial SSU rRNA". It matches the Rfam family "Bacterial small subunit ribosomal RNA", at positions 161 to 697 of the family's 1533-position model. Lineage: Bacteria; Bacillati; Actinomycetota; Actinomycetes; Bifidobacteriales; Bifidobacteriaceae. The record is from RNAcentral.